This 497-nucleotide ribosomal RNA is filed under the name uncultured bacterium. RNAcentral's name for it is "partial 16S ribosomal RNA". It matches the Rfam family "Bacterial small subunit ribosomal RNA", at positions 28 to 507 of the family's 1533-position model. The record is from RNAcentral.
GAUGAACGCUGGCGGCGUGCCUAAUACAUGCAAGUCGAGCGAACAGACGAGGAGCUUGCUCCUCUGACGUUAGCGGCGGACGGGUGAGUAACACGUGGAUAACCUACCUAUAAGACUGGGAUAACUUCGGGAAACCGGAGCUAAUACCGGAUAAUAUAUUGAACCGCAUGGUUCAAUAGUUAAAGACGGUUUUGCUGUCACUUAUAGAUGGAUCCGCGCCGCAUUAGCUAGUUGGUAAGGUAACGGCUUACCAAGGCAACGAUGCGUAGCCGACCUGAGAGGGUGAUCGGCCACACUGGAACUGAGACACGGUCCAGACUACUACGGGAGGCAGCAGUAGGGAAUCUUCCGCAAUGGGCGAAAGCCUGACGGAGCAACGCCGCGUGAAUGAUGAAGGUCUUCGGAUCGUAAAACUCUGUUAUUAGGGAAGAACAAAUGUGUAAGUAACUAUGCACGUCUUGACGGUACCUAAUCAGAAAGCCACGGCUAACUACGUG